AAAGAAAGCGUAAUAGCUCACUGGUCGAGUCGGCCUGCGCGGAAGAUGUAACGGGGCUAAACCAUGCACCGAAGCUGCGGCAGCGACGCUUAUGCGUUGUUGGGUAGGGGAGCGUUCUGUAAGCCUGCGAAGGUGGCCUGUGAGGGUUGCUGGAGGUAUCAGAAGUGCGAAUGCUGACAUAAGUAACGAUAAAGCGGGUGAAAAGCCCGCUCGCCGGA
This 218-nucleotide ribosomal RNA is filed under the name Salmonella enterica subsp. enterica serovar Amager. RNAcentral describes it as "partial 23S ribosomal RNA". It matches the Rfam family "Bacterial large subunit ribosomal RNA", at positions 1125 to 1341 of the family's 2925-position model. Lineage: Bacteria; Pseudomonadati; Pseudomonadota; Gammaproteobacteria; Enterobacterales; Enterobacteriaceae. The record is from RNAcentral.